Molecule: ribosomal RNA, 789 nt
Filed under: uncultured Methanomicrobiaceae archaeon
Lineage: Archaea; Methanobacteriati; Methanobacteriota; Methanomicrobia; Methanomicrobiales; Methanomicrobiaceae
Description: bacterial SSU rRNA
Rfam family: Archaeal small subunit ribosomal RNA
Source: RNAcentral
ACGGCUCAGUAACACGUGGACAACCUACCCUACGGAGGGGGAUAACCCCGGGAAACUGGGGAUAAUACCCCAUAGACUAUGGAUGCUGGAAUGCUCUGUAGCCGAAAGGUCCGCCGCCGUAGGAUGGGUCUGCGGCCGAUUAGGUUGUUGUUGGGGUAACGGCCCAACAAGCCUGUAAUCGGUACGGGUUGUGGGAGCAAGAGCCCGGAGAUGGAUUCUGAGACACGAAUCCAGGCCCUACGGGGCGCAGCAGGCGCGAAAACUUUGCAAUGCGGGAAACCGUGACAAGGGAACUCUGAGUGCCCGUAAAAUCGGGCUGUCCAUCGGUUUAAAUAACCGGUGAAGAAAGGGCCGGGCAAGACCGGUGCCAGCCGCCGCGGUAAUACCGGCGGCUCGAGUGGUGGCCACUAUUACUGGGCUUAAAGCGUUCGUAGCUGGUUUGUUAAGUCUCUGGGGAAAUCUUCCGGCUUAACCGGAAGGCGUCUCAGGGAUACUGGCAGACUAGGGACCGGGAGAGGUGAGAGGUACUCCAGGGGUAGGAGUGAAAUCCUGUAAUCCUUGGGGGACCACCUGUGGCGAAGGCGUCUCACCAGAACGGCUCCGACAGUGAGGGACGAAAGCUGGGGGAGCAAACCGGAUUAGAUACCCGGGUAGUCCCAGCUGUAAACGAUGCGCGUUAGGUGUAUCGGUGACCACGAGUCACCGAGGUGCCGAAGAGAAAUCGUGAAACGUGCCGCCUGGGAAGUACGGUCGCAAGGCUGUAACUUAAAGGAAUUGGCGGGGGAGCAC